Molecule: ribosomal RNA, 256 nt
Filed under: uncultured bacterium
Lineage: Bacteria
Description: partial 16S ribosomal RNA
Rfam family: Bacterial small subunit ribosomal RNA
Source: RNAcentral
UACGAAGGGGGCUAGCGUUGCUCGGAAUCACUGGGCGUAAAGGGUGCGUAGGCGGGUCUUUAAGUCAGGGGUGAAAUCCUGGAGCUCAACUCCAGAACUGCCUUUGAUACUGAAGAUCUUGAGUUCGGGAGAGGUGAGUGGAACUGCGAGUGUAGAGGUGAAAUUCGUAGAUAUUCGCAAGAACACCAGUGGCGAAGGCGGCUCACUGGCCCGGUAUACGUGACGCUGAGGUGCGAAAGCGUGGGGAGCAAACAGG